RNAcentral lists this ribosomal RNA (253 nucleotides) under uncultured bacterium. RNAcentral's name for it is "partial 16S ribosomal RNA". It matches the Rfam family "Bacterial small subunit ribosomal RNA", at positions 524 to 776 of the family's 1533-position model. The record is from RNAcentral.
UACAGAGGGGGCUAGCGUUGUUCGGAAUUACUGGGCGUAAAGGGUGCGUAGGCGGCUUACCAAGUCAGGUGUGAAAUCCCGGGGCUCAACCUCGGAAUUGCACUUGAAACUAGUAGGCUUGAGGACGAGAGAGGAUAGUGGAAUUCCUAGUGUAGGAGUGAAAUCCGUAGAUAUUAGGAGGAACACCAGUGGCGAAGGCGGCUAUCUGGCUCGUUUCUAACGCUGAGGCACGAAAGCGUGGGGAUCAAACAGG